Molecule: long non-coding RNA, 2618 nt
Organism: Gadus macrocephalus (Pacific cod)
Lineage: Eukaryota; Metazoa; Chordata; Actinopteri; Gadiformes; Gadidae
Exons: 3
Source: RefSeq, a predicted model, not a curated record
GAGGGGCAGGUGGCAAUUAAACCACGAUUCGUUGUUUAAUUACGGUCAAGAAAGCGCAUCGGGUGAACCACAUUGAUUACCGACUUCAAGUCAGCAUGUUCACGCCCCCUUAAGAGUGACCUGCUUUCUGCAUUUCUGAAUACUAGAGGACAAGAAGGGGACAGUCUGUACAUCUGUCUUGGAAAAACUAAAGAAAGGAAAACAUAAUUGUUUUAGGACUGGUAGGAUAAUGAGCCUUCAUCCCACGUCAACCGUGUUCCACGGUGUUCCUCCUAUACCCGAUCAGGCGACAGUGGUAAAAACAGGAUACCUCCUCAAGUCCCCUCCGUACUCCCUGUUGAGAAGAGAGACUUUCUGGAGAAGGCGUUUUUUUGUUCUGUACAAAUCAAAUGAACAAGACUACCGGCUCAAGUACUUCAACAGCGAGGAUCAGAAGGACAGGGCCCUGGGGGAAAUAGACCUGAAACAGUAAGUUUGUUUUCAACUGAAACUAUGACUUGCACACAAUUAAAGGUAAUCGAGGUACGAUUCGAGAGCUAUGAUUUGUCCGUAGUGCCUGAAGUGUCACACUACACAAUAACCAUCUGUAACCCAUUAGUGGGUUAAAUGCUAUAGAAUAUCCUAUUUUACUUGAUUGUAGUAUGUAUAGAUGACCCUUGCCUUGACGCCAUAAGCGUUUCCGUAGAAUGACCUCGUGGUGUGCCGCACACAUCUGAAGAUCUAACUCUUUUGAAGGUUGAGAGCGAUGCUAGUAAGCCCGGGCGGCCACCCCAGAUGGAGUUGGGUCCAGAAAAACGUCAACUGUAAUCCGUCCUGCGUUCUCUACAUCAACACUUCUGCCAGGGAAUACUUUCUGGUUGGCGACAACAGGUAGCAGAGGGCAGGUUCGAACACAGGUCUAUGGCUGUAAGGCGUGAUCACCGAGGAUUAACGUCAUGGAUUUACAUAAUACAGUGCCAUCAAAAAAAUGCCAUCAAACUGCGCCCUGUUACAUGUUUCAGCUUAGGUUAUGUUGGUGCUUGAAUCAGAACAUGAGUCACUCCAUCUCAGAUAGAGCCUGAAAAAUGUUGUUCAUGACUUGGCUUCAGAACAGAGGCGGAGUGGCCAUCGGGACGAUCGGGAGGUUUCCCGGUGGGGCCGGUCCCCCCGGUAUGAAAAAGUGCCCCGCUCCGCCCCUGCUUCAGAAGCCACCAUGCAUUCCACCCUUCAAUCAAUACGGAAUCCCCAAGCAGUCAUUACUAUGUCACUACUUUAAUUGGUUUGAAGUCCAGUCGGUCAUUUGCACUAUGUCAUCAUGGUCAUCUAGCGUUCAUCGUGAAGGUUUAUUUUUAUGAUAACAUUUACAUGAUUACAAAACGUGUAUGAUAAUAAUUUAGGCCUGUUAAACUAUACAUUUGUAAGAAAGGUGGAGCUGUAGUUUACUAUACAGCCACUGUAGUGACAUACGUCUUUGAACAUGCAUCAAUCUGCAUUACAAACCAAUGUUAUUGAUGUUUAUCUUAAUCUUGGAAUAAUCUCACUCAGAGCCCUUUCCAGCGACAUCUACAUUGAGUGUAGAUGUGUUGAGCUCUCUCUGGGCAGCUGUUGAUUUCGAUAUCCCUGUCUGAGAGAGGGUUAGCUUCUUGGACACAUCUACACUCAUUAGAGUCAUACCAAUGAUGUGUACUAGCUAGAAAAAGUAUUACAAAGGUGCUGUGGGUUGUAGGCCAAGUCUUUCUGUUUUUUACGCUAGCCUGUUGCCUGAUUUUGAUCAGGUUUGUUCAGGAUGAUCUGGCCCAACGUUUAGUUUCCUAUUCAAAGCUAAAGGAGAACAGAGCUUAUUGAAUGAGUACGCCCGUUCAUCAUUGUCAAUGUCAAUAAUGUAAGGUUACUCCACCACGGACUCACUCUGGUUGGGGGCGGCAAAUAAAUGAAUUGCCCUUUAGGCAUCAAUUCCGAGGAUGCUGAUCGGCUUGAAGAAUGUCGCUAUGAGCAUAUCUUUUGUCAGCAAUUGGGAGCGCUGCAGCACUGACUGGGCGAUGUUUGUAUCGCCCCAGAGGAAAGGUUGGAACAGCAUAGCUCAUCUUCCGCAAACACACUGAUAGAUAUUUUUGAUAUUUCACGUUAUUGUCAAUUUUAAUCACUAACAUAAAUUAUUGUUUAUUUAAAAACAUAUAAUGUAUUUUAUGUUGAAUGGAUUGAAUAAUCACCUAUUACAUUUUUUAAUAGGUAGGCUUUAUUUUUACUGCUUGCCUAUUUAGGAGUAUGAUGUUUGUCCGAUCUUUUAUAUGUUUUACAUUCAACGCUAUAUGAACCUAUAUUCAUGUCAGUCAACAGUCACAGCAACAGUCUAUCAUUGUCUUGCAAAUCACAAAACCAAAGUUUAUUAUGGGUUGUUUCAUAAAUACACAUAAUUGUGAGGCUUUUUUUUUUUUUUCUCUGAUUCAUAAUGACCUUGGUUUCCUCUUGAACAGACCUCCAUUUAUACUUUGAGAUGAUGUGUGAAUUGCAAUUGCAUUGUCUUCCUAUUACCCCCAUUUAUUUAAUUUCCAGCUCGGAUGUGAAUGACUGGUUCAUUGCUUUAUCCAAUCCCGGUUUUGCAGAGGUAGGCUGAACUUUGUUUGUAUUUAUAAUAUUAA